ACCUCACGGAUCCACCCCGCGGCCCCUCGGAUGACCAGGUGCCCGGGGAACUGGUGCCUUCAUCGGCUGAAUCUCAUCCAGCUGACCAGCCAGGAAUUUGAUUGCGUGUAUGAAAUCAUCUGAUGCCAGGAACACUUUUCACGCCGGGCCUGUUUCGUGUCUAAAAGGCGGCCAUCGAGCCGGAGGAGGAGAGGUACUCACCGGGAGGAUCCUCCGGGAGUCACGAGACAUUUCUUCAAGUUUAAAAAACCCGGAGCUCCAUCAACACGACGCAGCUUCAGCCCGGGAGGCGCCCGACGACCAGCGGCGUAAGCCCCGGCCACUUCCCCUGCUUGUCUCCACCGUGAGGCGGCUCUCGCUCGGUGCUCCCGGGGCUCGGAGCCGCUCUCCGGUUCGUAUCCUGCCCGUCAAAGACGCGUUUGUCUCGGGGAAAGUCGGUGUUUUGCGGCCGAUGUGAAACUGGAGCGCUGGAAACCAAAGUGCCACUGUUGGGGGUUAACAACUUUACUGUGAAACACGGCUUGUGAUUGGCCAGCGGCGGCUACCAAUCACCUGUGGAGAGCCCCCCCUCUCUCCCAGGGCACGUGACGUCUCUAUCAGCCCCUGUGAUUGGCUGAGGGUUUCUACACUCUAAUGAGAUUCAUGCACAUCAAGGAGGAGGCGGCUGUGGCUGAGGGGUAGAUGGUCGGCGGCUCGAAUCCCAGCUCCUGUGGAAGUGCCCUUGGGCAAGAUGCAGAACCCAGAGUGGCACCUCCAAGAUGUUGAAUGCAUGGAUUGGAAGUUGCUUUGAAUGACAUGUUCUGUAAUGUCAAUAACAGGCCUCUAAACACAACAAUACACAAAACAGUAACUGCACAACAACUUAAUGUCAGGACAAAUUGUUUUGAAUGUUUAUUCAAUAAAUAAUUUUCAGAAAUACAGAGUUGCAAAUGUGAUUGUGUGGUAGAAACUAUAAAAAGGCACUUAAAAACAAUGGUGACUGGUGUAACCUUUUUUUUUUGUCUUUACAAAAACAAAGAUCGGGGGAUCAAAGAUCUUUAACACUGUGACUUUUUUUAUCCAUUCCUAUUUCUGUUCAAUAAAAAAUUGUUUGAUCGAGGCACCGACAAAUGGCCGAGUGGAACUACUCACAUGUUAAAAAAAAAGAGAAA
Molecule: long non-coding RNA, 1151 nt
Organism: Platichthys flesus (European flounder)
Lineage: Eukaryota; Metazoa; Chordata; Actinopteri; Pleuronectiformes; Pleuronectidae
Exons: 2
Source: RefSeq, a predicted model, not a curated record